Molecule: ribosomal RNA, 466 nt
Filed under: uncultured bacterium
Lineage: Bacteria
Description: partial 16S ribosomal RNA
Rfam family: Bacterial small subunit ribosomal RNA
Source: RNAcentral
GACGAACGCUGGCGGCGCGCCUAACACAUGCAAGUCGAACGAGCGAGAGAGAGCUUGCUUUCUCGAGCGAGUGGCGAACGGGUGAGUAACGCGUGAGGAACCUGCCUCAAAGAGGGGGACAACAGUUGGAAACGACUGCUAAUACCGCAUAAGCCCACGGUGCCGCAUGGCACAGAGGGAAAAGGAGCAAUCCGCUUUGAGAUGGCCUCGCGUCCGAUUAGCUAGUUGGUGAGGUAAUGGCCCACCAAGGCGACGAUCGGUAGCCGGACUGAGAGGUUGAACGGCCACAUUGGGACUGAGACACGGCCCAGAAUCCUACGGGAGGCAGCAGUGGGGAAUAUUGCAAAAUGGGGGAAACCCUGAUGCAGCGACGCCGCGUGGAGGAAGAAGGUCUUCGGAUUGUAAACUCCUGUUGUUGGGGAAGAUAAUGACGGUACCCAACAAGGAAGUGACGGCUAACUACGUG